UUUUUGCGUUAGGGAUUGUAGCGGCAUCCUUUUUAAAAUUUGUGUAAAAACAACAUGGUGAGAACUUAAAAUUGGCAGAUUGCCACGUCCUACGUCCUCGCAAUGACAUUUUAAAAAGAUAUAGCGGAAAGCCCGACCCUUU
Molecule: small RNA, 142 nt
Filed under: Mariniflexile fucanivorans
Lineage: Bacteria; Pseudomonadati; Bacteroidota; Flavobacteriia; Flavobacteriales; Flavobacteriaceae
Description: Flavo-1
Rfam family: Flavo-1 RNA
Source: RNAcentral